Molecule: long non-coding RNA, 1087 nt
Filed under: Equus asinus (donkey)
Lineage: Eukaryota; Metazoa; Chordata; Mammalia; Perissodactyla; Equidae
Description: lncRNA (ENSEASG00005036228.1)
Source: RNAcentral
AAACUCUUGUAUUAACCAUAAUAAUUAUGAAAAGUGGGCUCUGUCAAAUACGCUGUGAGAAUAUUCUCAUGGAGAGUCAUGACACGGAAUGAAGCUGCACUGUCCCGUAAAGAUGUUUUCAAGCUCAGGGUCCUGACAGGAAAGAGAUGGCAAAUGCAAAAGGGAGAUUAAAGAGAGUUUGAUGAAGGCACUGUUUACAAGGGCUUGGGCGGGUUUAAGGAAAACCAACAAGGGAUGGUAAAGCACCUAGGGACUCGCACCCACAGGAAGUAGCUACGUAAGGAAUCAGCCAUUGGAACCCAGGGAGAGCUGUAGCUAUAGGAAGAGGCUGCCUGCAAGAUGCAGCUGCUCACAAGCCCUGGCCCAGCAGGCAGAUGAGCCAAGGGAGGAAACACUUCAAGGUCUUUCCCCUCCUCCUGUCUGUGCCUUCCAUUGGCCAAACCCGACCAGAUUCGGAAGGCACAGGCCGUAGGUGCAGCCAGGUCAGUCUUCUUGGACAGAGAGCAGGCUGAGGGAUGCAAAGUAGAUCUGGAGGGACAAAUGGAAAACCUCUAGCACAGAUGUCAACUAGCUCUUUCCUUCUUGAUUCUGCAUUGUGAUUUCUUGCCUAUUUUUUAGAUGUACUGAACAAGAUUUGAGUUAUUUUCUAUGUGAUCUAAAAGAGAAAGCACUUUUUUAUCAGCAAAACUAGAAACAACUAGACUCACAAGUGUGCAGCUAAACCCUUGAAAUAAACGGCUUCAUCUCAAACCUAAAUAAAAAGAAAGAUCUCAGUCAUGCCUUCCCAGGCCAUUUUAAUUAACUUUAUCGGAAAAGUUCUAAAUGUCUAACUGUCUUUAUCUUUGUUUCCAGAUUUUCAAUUGGCCAGAAGGAUUUUGAUGGUUGACAGAACUCACAGUCCUGUGCCUUCACUCUGAUGAUGCAUCUCCUGCUCCAGCUGGAAUCCUUCUCAGGAAAACGAGCAGAGGUCAGGCUGACCCUUCUUGCUGGGCAGGUGGGGCCUCCAUCUUCAGUUCAAGCUACCUUAGCUGGAAGUUUCGAGAGGACACCAAAUAUUUACUCUGUUUAAUAUUACAUUUUUAUUGAU